This 25-nucleotide non-coding RNA is filed under the name Mus musculus (house mouse). The record is from RNAcentral. Lineage: Eukaryota; Metazoa; Chordata; Mammalia; Rodentia; Muridae.
UAGCAUAGUUGAGUCAGUCACAGAG